This 1487-nucleotide ribosomal RNA is filed under the name Staphylococcus haemolyticus. Its description in RNAcentral is "bacterial SSU rRNA". It matches the Rfam family "Bacterial small subunit ribosomal RNA". Lineage: Bacteria; Bacillati; Bacillota; Bacilli; Caryophanales; Staphylococcaceae. The record is from RNAcentral.
CUCAGGAUGAACGCUGGCGGCGUGCCUAAUACAUGCAAGUCGAGCGAACAGACAAGGAGCUUGCUCCUUUGACGUUAGCGGCGGACGGGUGAGUAACACGUGGGUAACCUACCUAUAAGACUGGGAUAACUUCGGGAAACCGGAGCUAAUACCGGAUAAUAUUUCGAACCGCAUGGUUCGAUAGUGAAAGAUGGUUUUGCUAUCACUUAUAGAUGGACCCGCGCCGUAUUAGCUAGUUGGUAAGGUAACGGCUUACCAAGGCGACGAUACGUAGCCGACCUGAGAGGGUGAUCGGCCACACUGGAACUGAGACACGGUCCAGACUCCUACGGGAGGCAGCAGUAGGGAAUCUUCCGCAAUGGGCGAAAGCCUGACGGAGCAACGCCGCGUGAGUGAUGAAGGUCUUCGGAUCGUAAAACUCUGUUAUUAGGGAAGAACAUACGUGUAAGUAACUAUGCACGUCUUGACGGUACCUAAUCAGAAAGCCACGGCUAACUACGUGCCAGCAGCCGCGGUAAUACGUAGGUGGCAAGCGUUAUCCGGAAUUAUUGGGCGUAAAGCGCGCGUAGGCGGUUUUUUAAGUCUGAUGUGAAAGCCCACGGCUCAACCGUGGAGGGUCAUUGGAAACUGGAAAACUUGAGUGCAGAAGAGGAAAGUGGAAUUCCAUGUGUAGCGGUGAAAUGCGCAGAGAUAUGGAGGAACACCAGUGGCGAAGGCGACUUUCUGGUCUGUAACUGACGCUGAUGUGCGAAAGCGUGGGGAUCAAACAGGAUUAGAUACCCUGGUAGUCCACGCCGUAAACGAUGAGUGCUAAGUGUUAGGGGGUUUCCGCCCCUUAGUGCUGCAGCUAACGCAUUAAGCACUCCGCCUGGGGAGUACGACCGCAAGGUUGAAACUCAAAGGAAUUGACGGGGACCCGCACAAGCGGUGGAGCAUGUGGUUUAAUUCGAAGCAACGCGAAGAACCUUACCAAAUCUUGACAUCCUUUGACAACUCUAGAGAUAGAGCCUUCCCCUUCGGGGGACAAAGUGACAGGUGGUGCAUGGUUGUCGUCAGCUCGUGUCGUGAGAUGUUGGGUUAAGUCCCGCAACGAGCGCAACCCUUAAGCUUAGUUGCCAUCAUUAAGUUGGGCACUCUAAGUUGACUGCCGGUGACAAACCGGAGGAAGGUGGGGAUGACGUCAAAUCAUCAUGCCCCUUAUGAUUUGGGCUACACACGUGCUACAAUGGACAAUACAAAGGGCAGCGAAACCGCGAGGUCAAGCAAAUCCCAUAAAGUUGUUCUCAGUUCGGAUUGUAGUCUGCAACUCGACUACAUGAAGCUGGAAUCGCUAGUAAUCGUAGAUCAGCAUGCUACGGUGAAUACGUUCCCGGGUCUUGUACACACCGCCCGUCACACCACGAGAGUUUGUAACACCCGAAGCCGGUGGAGUAACCAUUUGGAGCUAGCCGUCGAAGGUGGGACAAAUGAUUGGGGUGAAGUCUAAC